Molecule: unclassified non-coding RNA, 220 nt
Filed under: plant metagenome
Description: partial contains small subunit ribosomal RNA, internal transcribed spacer 1, and 5.8S ribosomal RNA
Source: RNAcentral
UUUCCGUAGGUGAACCUGCGGAAGGAUCAUUACAGAGUUCAUGCCCUCACGGGUAGAUCUCCCACCCUUGAGUAUUUAUACCUUAGUUGCUUUGGCAGGCCGUGGAAACACCAUGGGCUCCGGCCUAUGCGUGCCUGCCAGAGGAAACAAACUCUGUUUUUAGUGAUGUCUGAGUACUAUAUAAUAGUUAAAACUUUCAACAACGGAUCUCUUGGUUCUG